Molecule: ribosomal RNA, 302 nt
Filed under: Calomera littoralis
Lineage: Eukaryota; Metazoa; Arthropoda; Insecta; Coleoptera; Carabidae
Description: partial large subunit ribosomal RNA
Source: RNAcentral
GACUGUCUUUAUUUAAAUUAAAGUAGAAUUUAACUUUUAAGUCAAAAGGCUUAAAUUUUUAUAAAAGACGAGAAGACCCUAUAGAUCUUUAUUUAAUUAAUAUUUUAAUAAUUUAGGAUUAAUUUAAUUUAAAGUUUUAAUUAAAUUUUAUUGGGGUAAUAUAAAGAUUAAAAAAAUUCUUUUUAUUUAUUACAUUAAUUUAUGAAUAAAUGAUCCAAUAUUAUUGAUUAUAAGAUUAAGUUACCUUAGGGAUAACAGCGUAAUUUUUUUGGAGAGCUCAUAUCGAUAAAAAAGUUUGCGAC